AUGAAUGCUGGCGGCGUGGAUAAGGCAUGCAAGUCAAGGGGACCGCAAGGUAACCGGCAGACGAGGUAGUAAUACGCAGGUACUCACCGAGAAGCCAGGUAUAGCUCGUCGAAAGACGGGGUAAUCCCUGAUAGUCUCGCGAGAGUAAAGGAGUAAUCCGCUUUUUGAACGGCCUGUGCCGCAUCAGGUAGUUGGUAGGGUAAUGGCCUACCAAGCCUAUGACGCGUAGGGGAGCUGAGAGGCUGACCCUCACCGAUGGGACUGAGACACGGCCCAUACAUCUACGGAUGGCUGCAGUCGAGAAUCUUCCGCAAUGGGCGAAAGCCUGACGGAGCGACGCCGCGUGAUUGAUGAAGUCCUUCGGGACGUAAAGAUCUUUUAUGCGCGAGAAAGUUAUUGAUAGUAGCGCAUGAAUAAGGGGCUCCUAACUCUGU
This 434-nucleotide ribosomal RNA is filed under the name uncultured bacterium. RNAcentral describes it as "bacterial SSU rRNA". It matches the Rfam family "Bacterial small subunit ribosomal RNA", at positions 29 to 506 of the family's 1533-position model. The record is from RNAcentral.